This 1721-nucleotide small RNA is filed under the name Pan troglodytes (chimpanzee). RNAcentral's name for it is "retained intron". Lineage: Eukaryota; Metazoa; Chordata; Mammalia; Primates; Hominidae. The record is from RNAcentral.
GAAAAACUUCUGAAGCAGUUUAUGAAGAGGCUGGAAGACUUAGCAGGCUCAUGUGUCCAUGCAGAUAGGUGCAGAUGGUCACAACUCCGGAGUACGGCAGGCUGUUGGAAUCCAGAAUGUGAGCUGGAACUAUGACCAGUCUGCUGUUGUGGCUACUCUGCAUUUAUCAGAGGCCACAGAAAACAACGUAGCCUGGCAGAGAUUUCUUCCCUCUGGGCCUAUUGCUCUGCUCCCGCUCUCAGACACCUUGAGUUCCUUGGUUUGGUCCACGUCCCAUGAACAUGCAGCAGAGCUAGUUACCAUGGAUGAGGAAAAAUUUGUGGAUGCCGUUAACUCUGCCUUUGUGAGUAUCAAUUUACCCAGCUGAUGAUGUGUUGCAGGGGGAGAUACAGAAAGGUGUUUUUUUUUUUUUUUUGAAACGGAGCCUUGCCAGGGUGGAGCGCAGUGGCACGAUCUUGGCUCACUGUGCAAUCUCCGCCUCCCGGGUUCAAGCGAUUCUCCUGCCUCAGCCUCCCAAGUAGCUGGGACUACAGGCACGUGCCACCACGCCCAGCUAAUUUUUGUAUUUUUAGUAGAAAUGAGGUUUCACCAUGUUGGCCAGGCUGGUCUCAAACUCCUGACCUCAAGUGAUCUGCCUGCCUUGGCCUCCCAAAGUGCUGGGAUUACAGGCGUGAGCCACUGCACCCAGCCAGAAAGGUGGUUUUGAGUCAGGAAAAAGGAGUAACCAGUCAGCUGUCCCUUUGUACUUUGUAACUAUAAUGCUUGGUCUGGAUUAUGUGGAGGAGUGUAUACACGGAAAUGCAAAACAAUAGAAAUAAUAAAUAAUAACCUUUUGAGGGUUGUGGGCUGCUGUUAGGCUGACUGAAACAGCUGCCUGGGUGGUGGUUAGCAUUGGCCUUUUUUUGAAGCUGUAACACUUGGAUUAUUUUGAACAGUUCUACUAGGUUGCAGCUACCUGAACCUUUCAAGCCUGAUUCAUUGGAAGUAUUCCUAGGGAAAGGCCGAGCGAAUUUCAGCAUGGGGCUUAAGAGUAAGCUUAGUAGAUAGAUGUGGGUUCAAAAAUGAACAGGUUCUACCUGUUCAUUUCCUGGAAAAUGUAAAUAGUAUCACUAACUGCUCAGGAUUGAAUAAAGACUUUCAAAAUGAGAGAACUUUUGUAAAAUCCAUGGAACAUCUUUAGUACAUUGUAGGUGCUCAACAAAUACUAAUAAUUCUGGAGUAGACACAGCCUUUGGAUAAUAUGGGUACCAGUAUUACUUUUGGAGCCUAAAUGACACUCAAAGCCUGCUACCUUCACACCAAAGACUCCACUGCUGUGUAGUAGCAACAAGAAUAAAGGGAACUGAACAUACUGAAAUGGAUUCCGAGAUAAAUGGUGAACACUACCCUACUCUGGGCCAUUUAGUAUAUAUUCCUGGCACAGGUCUAGGUCCUCUGCAGUGCAGUCAUUCACCAUUAAUUGUCCUUUCUAUGUAGCAGGCUCUGGAGAUACUGAGAACAGUCUCCGCUUUCAGGAAGUUCAUAGUCAAGUAAGGAAGACCGUAAAUGACAAUCUCCGUACAGUGAUAGAAGUAUGCAUAGGAUGCUGUGGAAGCAUACAGGGGGGAAACACAGAGAAAGACUGGAGGAGUUAAAAAGAGGCGACGUCUUCUGGAUGCUCUGAGAUGUUAUCCUAAUGAAAUAGAGACGGGCAUUCUAAGCAGAGGAGAGUCAUGGAGGUA